This is a non-coding RNA of Pelobates cultripes (western spadefoot toad), 227 nucleotides long. NCBI's taxonomy places the organism in Eukaryota, Metazoa, Chordata, Amphibia, Anura, Pelobatidae. The record is from the annotation of a GenBank genome assembly.
CACCACAAGUCAGACUCCCUCACCCCUGCGUGUUGCAUUAGGCACACCUGAAUCUGCAUAUUUUUCCCUGAUUCCCUAUGGGCUACAGGGAAGACAUAUACAGGCAGACUCUCUGUGCCCACAGUCAAAGUGAAUCUCCUGCCCGGAACCACCCCUCCCUAUCAAAAACAAUACCCGCUAAGCCCAGCACAGGAAGAUGCUAUUUCCCAAUCUAUGCAAGAGUUACU